UGUUGAGUGACUUGCCUGAGGGCACACAGCAGCUAAGGGGCAAAGCUGGGAUUUGAACCCAGGCUAGAGGCUGUGCUUUUAACCACUGGGAAGUGAAUGAGGGCUAAGGUUUCCAUGUGGCUCCUGCAGGGUCCUUUGGAUGUGAUUGUCCUAGUCCUAGAGUGGCCCUGCCCUGGCCCAAGUGGAGCUCCUCUCCCUCCCCAGGAUUCACCCAUGUGUUGAGUGUUGAUCCCAAGAGACUGAGUCUCAGUCUGGGACUCUCCAGACAGGCCUCAGGCAAGGUGAGGGAGCGCCUCUUUCCCCAGGGAAGGAAGGCUGCCACUGGGAGUCACGCCUGCUCCCAGCCUCUGCCCUCGGUGUGGCAGCACGUCACCGCUUCCCUACACACGUGCCCCGAGUCUGCUCUUCCUCCUGGGGCAUCUGAUCCAUAUCCCCAGAGCCCGGGGCAGGGCUGAGGGAGGGCCAGGACCCCUUAGCUCCCAGCACAGACUGGCCCAGUGUUUAGCAAGACUGUGAAAGAGACAAUUGUUUGCUGUACCUGCUACCCUGGGAGAGGGAUAGGGACAGACCAGAGUCAGAGGCAGAGAGACAGAGCACCUGUCCUGGGAGGGCUCAGAGCAGUACUUGAGGGCUGGGGAGACCAGGUCUCUUCAGGGCCAUCCCAGGCACAGAGAACAGGCAGGUCUAGGCCCCCAAAAGGCAGGGCUGCACCUCGCCAGGAGAGGAGUCACAGGGAGGCAGCAACUGCAGUGAAAGGCUUUCUGCUGGUCACAGUUGGCUAGGGAUGGGCUGGGGGCUUUGAGAAGGGUGAGUCCCCCACCAUCAGGGUCAUGCAAAUAGAGCUUGGAUGAGCUUUCACUGGGGGUGUGGUUUGAAAGUUUGGACUAGAGCCUAGCUCUCAACUCUUUGGGCCUGGGUGGGGGUGUCUUUGUGUUGUCACAAUCACAGCAGGGCUGCUGGCCUUUAGUGGGAGGGUACCAGAGAUGCUAUGUCUCUGGCAUAUCCAGGACAGUCCUGCCCAAAGAACUCUCCACCCCAAAUGCCAGCAGCAUCCCUAUCGAGGAACCUCAAUGCCUUUAGCCUCCGGAGUAUGAGGGAUGUUGUCAACCUGUAGCGCACUGGAACUGUGAGAAGGGAGGAUGGCCUGCGCCUCGUGAACCAUGGGGUGGCAUCGUUGGUGGUUUGUCACACAAAACCCAUGUUCAGGGUCAUCUUGGGAGAACUAUAGGAGCUCUGGACCCACAUGGUGACUGUGUCACUCGUUUGUGUGAUGCCUUCUGUCCACUGGCCUGGACUGAACGAGGCUUGGUGAUGCACACAGCAAAUGGUCGGUGAAAAAUGAAUUCUCCCAGGAAGCUUUCCUGCCAGAGACCCUGGAGCCUUAAAUUUACUGCUUGCCUUCUGUGCUGACGGAACUGAGCCUCAAGAUUUAUAUCCAGGGGUUUGUGGGCAGCUGGCUCUGGGCCGGCGGGAGUCCUGAAGGGCAGGCAGGCUGAACCACAGAGCUCACUAAACAACUCUUGACUGAGUGCCAACAGUUUGUUGGGACCAGAGCAGUGACUAAGACCUCAGUGAACUCUGCCCUCCAGGAACUCACAGACAGAGCUAACGGUCUCCCAGGUUGGGUGCAGGAGCCAUGCCCAGGACAGUCUCCUGAGGAGGAGGUUGGGAACAAAUAUGAAGAGCUUCCAUUUACAUUUAUCUUCUAUCACAGUUUAAUUUGUUUCUCUUUUUGGGUAUGUUGUAUAAUGUGCAUGAUAUGCAAAUAUAGUAAUACAUGGCUACUUUAUGAA
This 1793-nucleotide long non-coding RNA is filed under the name Homo sapiens (human). RNAcentral's name for it is "HSALNT0310501". The record is from RNAcentral. Lineage: Eukaryota; Metazoa; Chordata; Mammalia; Primates; Hominidae.